CCUACGGGAGGUAGCAGUGAGGAAUAUUGGUCAAUGGGCGUAAGCCUGAACCAGCCAAGUCGCGUGAGGGAUGAAGGUUCUAUGGAUCGUAAACCUCUUUUAUAAGGGAAUAAAGUGUGGGACGUGUCCUAUUUUGUAUGUCCCUUAUGAAUAAGGAUCGGCUAACUCCGUGCCAGCAGCCGCGGGAGUACGGAGGAUUCAAGCGUUAUCCGGAUUUAUUGGGUUUAACGGGUGCGUAGGCGGCCUUUUAAGUCCGCGGUGAAAGUCUGUGGCUCAACCAUAGAAUUGCCGUUGAAACUGGGGGGCUUGAGUAUGUUUGAGGCAGGCGGAAUGCGUGGUGUAGCGGUGAAAUGCUUAGAUAUCACGCAGAACCCCGAUUGCGAAGGCAGCCUGCCAAGCCAUGACUGACGCUGAUGCACGAAAGCGUGGGGAUCAAACAGGAUUAGAUACCCUUGUAGUC
This 460-nucleotide ribosomal RNA is filed under the name uncultured bacterium. Its description in RNAcentral is "partial 16S ribosomal RNA". It matches the Rfam family "Bacterial small subunit ribosomal RNA", at positions 338 to 795 of the family's 1533-position model. The record is from RNAcentral.